RNA transcript from Neoarius graeffei (lesser salmon catfish), 6484 nucleotides. RefSeq lists it as uncharacterized. The transcript is spliced from 6 exons. The record is from RefSeq and is a predicted model, not a curated record. Lineage: Eukaryota; Metazoa; Chordata; Actinopteri; Siluriformes; Ariidae.
CGUCGGCCAAAAACAGCGCCCCCCAUGGACGAAAAUUCCCAAAAUGUGGUAUACAUGACAUGGGAGGUAGUAAGAGGGUGGCCGUGAAGUUGGACCAAAUUUGAGGAAAGAUUGGAUUUUUUGGCCAAAAAUAGCGCCCCCAGUGGCGAAAUAUCACAGAAAUUGGGUAACAUGUCAGAAGCCCAAUGAGUGAUUAGCGUGUGAAGUAUGAGCAGUUUUGAGCAAUUAGAAGAUUUAUGAAUUUUUGAGCAUGUAAAAUUUUGAAGUGAAAAUUGAUUGACGUAUAACUUCUGAACGGUUUAUCCUACGUGAAACGUAUUUAGUAACUUUUGUCAGCCAUGUCUGUAGAUGUGUAUCAAUUUUGGUGACAUUCCUAUGAAUGGUCUAGGAGGAGUUGCGCCGUCUUCGUGGCCAUGCAUUUCGCACAAAAGUGAAAUUACCUCACUUCCUGUUGGGCGUGGCUAAUGCAUUGGCAUUACAUUUUUGUCCGGCUUACUGAGAUACAUAUGGGUACCAAAUGGCAUGCCAGUACUACAAACUAUAUGGCAACCAGGCACCUUAAUGCGGGAGGCCAAAAUCACAACGACUUAGGGGGCGCUAUAGAGGCCCUGAGCCCCGGCCAAGUUUGGGCUUUUGGUUCUGAGUAGCGGUGCCAAUUCUCGGAAGUGGUGCCAAAUUUCGUGCGUUUUCGCCCAUGGCAAGCGCCCCGAAAAUGGCCCAACAGCGGAGAAAAAUAAAGAAGAAGAAGACGGAAGAAGAAGAAGAAGAAGACGGAAGAAGAAUAAUAGUGAACUCUUACAAGAACAAUAGGGCCUUCGCCCAUAGGGCUCGGGCCCUAAUAAUAGUGAACUCUUACAAGAACAAUAGGGCCUUCGCCCAUAGGGCUCGGGCCCUAACAAGGAGGUGGAGGUAGCAAAAGCACUUAGUUUUUCAAAGGGCUCAAAACAAAGACGAGUGCACUUAGAAUACCUUCGAAACAAAGGUAACUUUGCACAUAAUGCCCAAGUUUUGAGAACAGGCACAGGAAAAUUGGUUGCACGCAAGCAGCCAAGAGAAAAUUCCCAAGCAAAAGACUGCAUGCACUGUGUAUACUGUCAAGGUUUGUUCAGAAAACAUGCAAUGUGGAGACAUGUGCAGAUCUGUAAUUUCAAACCUGACAAUGUUAAUCCCAAUGUUAAUCCCAAACCGGGAAAAACUAGAGUCCAAGCCCUCUGUGCCUUUGCAGAGCCCACACCUGGUGGACUUUCUGAAGAGCUAUGGAAACUUGUGAACAACAUGAACCAGGAUGCUGUUGCACAUGCAGUCAAAAGUGACUGGUGCAUCAUGGAGAUGGGAAAGCACCUCUACAACAAGCAUGGCUCUGACAUUGACAAGCACGAAUAUAUCCGGCAAAAACUGAGGGAGCUUGGUAGACUUCAAGUACAUGGUGGUGAGGUCACAAACAUGAAGACCAUCAGAGAAUCUCAUACCAGCGAACUUCAUGCAGACAGUCAAUGCAGUAAAAACACACAGCACAAGGCAGUAAAAGCAGCGCUAAAUCACUUCCCCUGAAACUUGGACACAGCCUCAAGAAGAUGUCUAUGCUCCUGGAGAGUGAUGCAAUCAUUAAAGGAGACAAAGAUGCUGCAGAAGCAGCCCGCUCAUUCCGAAACAUCUAUGAUGCAAAAUGGCACGAGCUUGUGUCAGCCACAUCUUUGAAGAGCCUCAGUGAGUCCAAAUGGAAUGCCCCUCAGCUGCUGCCUUUCACAGCAGACGUGCAGAAGUUGCACAAUUACCUGGAUGAGAAGAAAAAGCAGUACUAACAUGAUUUGUUAUCUGAGGAGUCAUCGCAGAACUGGGCCGGCUUGGCUAAGGUGACUCUCGCCCAGGUUAUCCUAUUCAACCGGCGUAGAGAAGGGGACGUGUCCAAAAUGUCCCUCUCUGCGUUUACAUCAAGAGACACAUCAGCACCUCACGAAGACGUCAACCUUGCUCUCUCUGAACUCGAGAAAAAGCUCCGUCAUCAUUUCACCAGGAUAGAAAUGAGAGGAAAGAGGUUGGAAAGUUGCUGUACUCCUAAGCCCAGCGAUGCAGGAAGCACUUGAUGUACUAUAUCAAAAGAGAAAGGAGUGUGGUGUCCUCAAAGAAAACACAUGUGUUUGCCAGACCAGGAGCGAUGUCGCACUACAGAGGGUCAGAUUGCAUCCGCCAGUUUGUCCAAUGCUGUCAUGUCAAGAAUCCUCUUUCACUCACCUCAACAAGACUGAGGAAGCACAUGGCUACCUUAUCUAAGGUACUAAACCUUCAGGAGACGGAGCUAGACCAGCUGGCGGAUUUCAUGGGCCAUGACAUCAGAGUGCAUCGGCAGUUUUAUCGGUUACCAGAGGGCACCCUUCAACUAGUAAAGAUCAGUAAAAUCUUGAUGGCCAUGGAGCAGGGACGCCUUGCGGAGUUCCAAGGCAAGAGUCUUGAGGAGAUCGACAUUGAUCCGAAUGAAACAAUCCAGUUGGACAAGCAUCCGGAUUCCGAAGAUGACCUUGCAGAGGUGGUGUGUGAACGGGACAUGGAAGCUUGCGAUUUGGAGUUGAAGGAGUAUCUCACAGCAGAGUGAGGAAGAAAUCAAGAGGACCACAGCUGAUCUCACACCAGUGUCAGCAACCAAUCACAAAAAAGGGAAGAAAUUUAAUAACUUUUGAGCAAUGUUUUAACACAAUGCUUUGAAACCUGUAACUUGUCUGUUUUUUUUUUUUUUUUAAAUCUGGGAACAAGAUCUAAGAUGAAGACCUCCAGAAGACUACAGCAGCUCACUCUCCAGUGAAGACAGCAACCCAGCAGAAGAACCAUUAUAGAUGAGCACAGAGCUCUAACCUGUACCUGCGUUUAUGAUGGGAGAUAUUGUGAACGCGGCGGCACGGUGGUGUAGUGGUUAGCGCUGUCGCCUCACAGCAAGAAGGUCCUGGGUUCGAACCCCGGGUCCGGCGAGGGCCUUUCUGUGUGGAGUUUGCAUGUUCUCCCCGUGUCCGCGUGGGUUUCCUCCGGGUGCUCCGGUUUCCCCCACAGUCCAAAGACAUGCAGGUUAGGUUAACUGGUGACUCUAAAUUGACCGUAGGUGUGAAUUUGAGUGUGAAUGGUUGUCUGUGUCUAUGUGUCAGCCCUGUGAUGACCUGGCGACUUGUCCAGGGUGUACCCCGCCUUUCACCCGUAGUCAGUUGGGAUAGGCUCCAGCUUGCCUGCGACCCUGUAGAACAGGAUAAAGCGGCUAGAGAUAAUGAGAUGAGAUGAGAUAUUGUGAACGCGCAUACACGUGGGUCUCUAUCACAUGAAGCCCGCAAAUUAAUCAGCCAUCUGAUUUGACAAUACACCUUUGAAAACAUGUCUACAGGAGGACUCUGAUUGGACAGUUGUGCACGUGCGUCUCCACCGCCAAUAUAAAUGGUGUGCGCGUGUGUACGUCCCCCUUUGAUCACAUCACAGGUUUUCUUUGAUUGUGAUCAGAGGUUUAUAAAGUACUUAUUCACAGCUGAGACUGAUCAUCGCCCUCAAGACUCCUCGCACUCAACUCAUCCUCAAGACUCCCGGAGCAGAUUUGUUCACUCACACACCAUCACAUUUUAUAUAUAAUAUAGCUGCAAGCAGCAAUGUGGGGGCCAAGCAGAAUAUGAGCAUAGUAUUAUGAAAAUCAAAAAUCCCUUGGAUAACUUGUGUGGCUUACUCCAAAGAUGUUAUGCAGUGAGUUUGGGAAAAAAAAUGGUCCAAAAUUGAGGGAGGAGUAGGAAUUUAAUUUAUUUUUACAAAAUUCAAAAUGGUGGAAAAUCUACCAGGUGGAAUAUGACGCCAUAGGGCGCGUUGGACUCGUUUUGACCGAAGGAUUCCAGCGAUACUAAGAUUUUGACGAUCAGACGUACGGUUCAAAAGUAACAAGCAGAAAUGUACUUCCAACUUUGACCUGUUGGUGGCGUUAGAGAGUUUGAGGUGGUGAGCUGAAAUUUGCUGACAAGAACCCUGAAGCCUAGAAUCAGUGCGCCAAAUUUCACAACCUCUUGUCAGACAGUUCGAUGGGUUGCCAUAGAAUUUCAUUGAUUUUAACAAAACUCAAAAUGGUGGAAAAUCCUCAAGGCAGAAUAUAUCAUAGGGUGCGAUGGAUUCGUCUUGACCCAAGGAUUACAGAGAUAGUGGAAUUUUGUUUCUACCCAAAAGGCAUCAUGAGAUAUGAGCCAAAAGACAUUUUCCUAUUUAUAGCGCCCCCUAGCGGCCAAUUUAUUCCAAUUUUUUUGUAGGCCUUUUUGGAGGGGUGGGGCAUAAUGCAACCAAGUUUCGUUAAGAUACCCCAAAGGGUGGCCGAGAUAUGAGCACACUUCCGUUUCAUGUCUGCGCAGCCAAUUUUGAUUGGCUGCCACGGCCAAACGCUUAUGAAAAUUCUAAACACCAGGAAAGUUUCUUGUGCAGCUUAGUCCAAAGUUGCCAUCUACCAAGUUUGGGAGAAAUUGGUCAAAAAUUGAGGGAGGAGAAGCAUUUUAAUUUGUUUUCACAAAAAUCAGAAUGGCGGAAAAUCUACCAGGUGGAAUAUGACUCCAUAGGGCGCGUUGGAUUCGUUUUGACCGAAGGAUUCCAGCGAUACAAAGAUUUUGACGAUCAGACAUACGGUUCAAAAGUAACAAGCAGAAAUGUACCUGCGACUUUGACCUGUUGGUGGCGUUGGAGUUUGAGGUGGCGAGUUGAAAUUUGCUGACAAGAACCUUGAGGAAGCCUAGAAUCAGUGUGCCAAAUUUCAAAACCUCUCGUCAGACGGUUCUAUGGGUUGCCAUAGAAUUUCUUGAAUUUUGUUAAAAUCAAUGGCGGAAAAUCCUCAAGGCAGAAUAUGACGUCAUAGGGUACGAUGGAUUCAUCUUGACCCAAGGAUUCCAGAGAUAGUGGAAUUUUGUUUCUACCCAAAACGCAUCAUGAGAUAUGAGCCAAAAGACUUUUUUCCUAGUUAUAGCGCCCCCUAGCGGCCAAUUUGUUCCAAAUUUUUGUGGGCCUUUUUGGAGGGGUGGGGCAUAACGCCACCAAGUUUCGUUAAGAUACGCCAAAGGGCGGCCGAGAUAUGAGCACACAUCCUGUUUCACGUCUGCGCAGCCAAUUUUGAUUGGCUGCCACGGCCAAACGCUUAGGAAAUUCUAAAAACCGGGUAAGUUUCUUGUGCAGCUUAGUCCAACGUUGUCAUGUACCAAGUUUGGGAGAAAUUGGUCAAAAAUUGAGGGAGAAGCAUUUUAAUUGAUUUUCACAAAAUUCAAAAUGGCAGGAAAACUAUCCGGGCGGAAAAUGACGUCAUAGGGUGCGUUGGAUGUGUCUUGGCCCAAGGACUCCAGGGAUACCAAGUUUUUGAAAAUCAGACCAACGGUUCAAAAGUUACAACCAGAAAUGUACCUGCGACUUUGACCUGUUGGUGGCGCUAGAGGCCUGAAAUUUGCUGAGAGGAAUGUUGAGACUGUCUAGAAUCAGUGUGCAAAAUUUCACAACUUUUUACCAGACGGUUCUAUGGGCUGCUAUAGACUUGCAGAGGUCUUGUGUGACUCCCAAAAUAGAAUAGCCUAAUGAAAUAUAGCUGCAAGCAGCAAUGCGGGGCCAAGCAAUGACCCAGCCUAAGUUGCCAUGGCAACAGAAAGAACUGACCAGGCAGACGGUCAUAGGCACGCACAGGAAGUGUUUACAAGCAGAAAUGUACCUCCAACCAGAUGGUUAGCGGCAUGCACGCAGUACCAAAUUGUGGGCCUUAUAUACAACCUUCUCCAAUGCACCCCAUUUAUACGAUCUUGAUAUGUAAAAACGGGUAUCUGACUCCCUGUGGUGGGCCCCCUCAGACGUGGGGCCCUGCUGAUUCAGUCAGCCACUUUACCAACGUGCUUUCACAUCCCUGUCUCUCUCUCUCUCUCUCUCUAUAUAUAUAUAUAUAUAUAUAUAUAUAUAUAUAUAUAUAUAUAUAUAUAUAUAUGUGUAAGAAGGGAAGGCAGAAUGGUAUAGUUGUAGAUCAUAAUUAAAACUAAAGUUGGUCAUAAACAUUGAUGGGUGAAGCGGGCAACAGACUUCGUGGUUUGUUCAUGUUCUUUUAUUGUUUGGUUAUGCUGUUUCCUGGUUGACUGUGUUCUGAAAAAGGCUUUACAUUUCAGUGUUCAGUUUCAAUGUUGUUUACUUUUUGCUAAUUUGAUUCAAAAAAACAAUGCUCUUGUAGAAUGGCUAUUAUUUGUCAUGUUUAUGUUAUUGUUGCUAAUCAAACAGCAGUUUAUCUGCAGACUGGUUUUUGGUGUUGUGUUGUAACAGGUGCAACCCGUGACUUAAGUUUUUCAAGGUCUGGGUGGAUACACAAGAGUACACUGUUUUGAAUACACUGUGUAUAAAGCUUAUGAUACCAUACACUAAGUAUAUUGCUGUGACUUUAACGCCAUGCUAAAGAAAGCAGAAGUUUUUAAAUUAACCUUUUUGUUGUACCUUUUUUUUUUUUAAAUAAAGUUAACCAGGUGGACUACCA